RNAcentral lists this ribosomal RNA (462 nucleotides) under uncultured bacterium. RNAcentral's name for it is "partial 16S ribosomal RNA". It matches the Rfam family "Bacterial small subunit ribosomal RNA", at positions 28 to 507 of the family's 1533-position model. The record is from RNAcentral.
GACGAACGCUGGCGGCGUGCUUAACACAUGCAAGUCGAGCGGAAAGGCCCUUCGGGGUACUCGAGCGGCGAACGGGUGAGUAACACGUUAGUAACCUGCCCCAGACUUUGGGAUAACCCUCGGAAACGGGGGCUAAUACCGGAUACGACACAGCUUCGCAUGGGGUCUGUGUGGAAAGUUUUUCGGUUUGGGAUGGGCACGCGGCCUAUCAGCUUGUUGGUGGGGUGAUGGCCUACCAAGGCGACGACGGGUAGCCGGCCUGAGAGGGCGACCGGCCACACUGGGACUGAGAGACGGCCCAGACUCCUACGGGAGGCAGCAGUGGGGAAUAUUGCACAAUGGGCGGAAGCCUGAUGCAGCGACGCCGCGUGAGGGAUGACGGCCUUCGGGUUGUAAACCUCUUUCAGCAGGGACGAAGCGUAAGUGACGGUACCUGCAGAAGAAGCGCCGGCCAACUACGUG